GGAAGUAAAAGUCGUAACAAGAUCUCCGUUGGUGAACCAGCGGAGGGAUCAUUACAGAGUUGCAAAACUCCCAAACCAUUGUGAACGUUACCUAUCCCGUUGCUUCGGCGGGCGGCCCGGGCCCCGCGCCCGGCGCCCCCCGGCCCCCCGUGGGCGCCCGCCGGAGGUAAACCAAACCCUUGAAUUGCAUGGCCUCUCUGAGUCUUAUGUACUGAAUAAGUCAAAACUUUCAACAACGGAUCUCUUGGUUCUG
Molecule: unclassified non-coding RNA, 253 nt
Filed under: plant metagenome
Description: partial contains small subunit ribosomal RNA, internal transcribed spacer 1, and 5.8S ribosomal RNA
Rfam family: Eukaryotic small subunit ribosomal RNA (bases 1-54)
Source: RNAcentral